Helianthus annuus (common sunflower) is the source of this 2604-nucleotide long non-coding RNA. RefSeq lists it as uncharacterized. The record is from RefSeq and is a predicted model, not a curated record. The transcript has 4 exons. NCBI's taxonomy places the organism in Eukaryota, Viridiplantae, Streptophyta, Magnoliopsida, Asterales, Asteraceae.
UUCCUCAAUAUAAACUCACACAGUACUCUGUCUCUGUCUCUCUUCAUCUACCACCAUCUCCCACAUCUACCACCAUCUCCCACCACCACCACAACCAUCCGCCACCACCUCAUUCUUCACCGAUAACUGAUCUACAAAGAACCACCACCCUAACUUGCCCCUCUCUCCUCAUCAAAACCCACCACAACCGCCAUCAUCUAACUACCACACAUUGCCUGAACCGACACCAUCUCUCUCCCUCUCUCUCGCAUGCAACCAUUACCUUGUUCAUAACUAAGAUCUGUAAAACACCUGUCAUGCAGGUGUCCCUAAAAGUUUCUUUGUUUUCAGACUUCAUCUUAACAACCGUCAGAUCAAAUUGCAGAUUUAGAAACGAGCACUUGAGUGUCAUCAUUGAACCGUGAAGAACGCGCACGAUUUAUGGCAGGGAGAGUAUUGGAGUUAACACUCCGAAUUGAAAAUCAAGAUAUACACAACUAUUACCCAAACAGUGAAGAGAUCGAAAUCUCUGUUGUUGACUCGUAUGUUUGUUUUCCGCUGGGAAAAACCCCCUUUAGUGGCAACAUUGUUUGUCCCGUAUGGAAAAGAAGGUGAUAUGUUGUAUAGUACACAUAUCGGUCUUAAGAGGCUUCUCAAUCAAAUUUAGAAAUGUGGUGCGACUGAUCAUGGUGAAAUCAAAAGAACAAUCACCCAACGCAUAUAGUCGUCUAAAAGAUCUCCACAUCCGUAACAACGACACCGACCCGCGUGCACUAUACAACAUAUCACAUUCUCUUCCAUACGGGACAAACAGUGUUGCCACUAAAGAGGGUUUUCCCACCGGAAAACAAACAUACGAGUCAACAACAGAGAUUUUAAUCUCCUCACUGUUUGGGUAAUAGUUGUGUAUAUCUUGAUUUUCAAUUCGGAGUGUGAACUCCAAUACUCUCCCCGCCAUAAAUCGUGAAGAGUCAGGAUAUAUGUGUUGGCAUCCGCAGUCCGAGAUGGUUAAGCCACCAAGAAAAUGUGCGAUAUGUAAACAAACUAUUUGAUGCACAAGAUCACUCGGUGUAUGGAAAUUAUGUUGAAGAUCUUAAGAUUUCUGUAGAAGAGGGCCUUGGGAUGCAAUUCGGGAGAAGGACGAGGCUCAAAUAUGUCCCACAUUUCUUUCAAGCAGAUUGUGUCUUGGAGGCUAAACAAAAUGGCGCAUCUGUCAUAGAGAGUUUGGAAACUCUAGUGGAGGGCAAUCAAGACGGAUUAGCCUUCACAAUUGACCUUGAGAAACUCGAUAUGCAUACACAAACUAUGUUAUAUGGAAGUAAAGUAAUUAAAAACCAUUUAAACGAAAAGUAUGUUACAUGGAAGUAAAGUAAUUAACAACCAUUUAAACGAAAAGUUUGUGGAUUCUGCUGUUCAGAUACAAGUGUUAUAUCUAGGUUUUGGAGACCUUGAAAGAGUUCCUAAGAACAAAUUUAAUGCUGAGGUAUUGAGUGUAGAGAAGGAUCGUGAACUUGAGGACUUUGGAGAGACACAUUUCAGUUCUUCCAUUGCCGAUGAAUGGGAAGGCUUGAACUUAAUUUAUAAAUUUGAUGCGGGUGAUGUUAUUGUUGCAUUGGGAGGUAUAGAAGCGACCAAUCAAAGCAUUGAUCUCAUUGAAUCAUGUGAUCCUUACAAGAGUCGCACAUAUGAUCUUGUAUUUGUAGACAUGAUCGAUCUUGAUAUUUACCCCAUGGUGGGAGCAUGUGCGCCCCCACGUGGCUUCAUAAAUGACUUGGUUUUCAACAACAUUAAGCAUCUUCUUCACCAACAAGGGGCACUUGUGAUUCAUGUGAUCGCACCUGAUUGCUUUUUCGAAAUGGACUUGAAAAAUAUUUUGGAAAAUCACUUUCUAAUGAUUUAGAAGUUAAGCUUUGAAGAAGAUUUUGAGUUUUUAAUCGUUGCGGCCAACUCAAUUAGCUUUGCUACUAUCCAAGAAAACGAGGAGAAUGAGGCUUUUGGGAUAAUCAAGUCCCUGAUAACACAACGCUUUCACAUUGCUAAAUUUAAGGGAGCCAAGCUAUCUACUUCAUGAAGGGUAUGAUGUCUCUCUUUUCAACAAGCCCUAUAUAUACAUACAUCUGGACACCUAAGGGUGGGCGGAGUGGGUUCGGUGAGUGGAGCGGGGAGAGGACUUUGCCGCGCGGCGAAGUGGUUCCGGCCUUCAAUCGGUGAGCAGUGAGUGGUUUGGGCGGUGACUUGUCACCGGCUCGGUGAAGAAGAGAAAGGUGGGAGAGAGAGGGUGAAUGGUUUCAACCAAUCACAUUUUUUUUAAAUUGUUUACCACUCUCCAUGUAUUAGACCAUUGCUAGUGAUUGAGUGCAAAAUGGGGCGUAGAGUGGGCACUUGACAUGACAUGACAUUAUUGAGAAAUUAUGGUCAUCUUAUUUGGUUUUGGUGAUGAAUGAUGAAUCUUGGUUGCAUCUUUUAAAGCUCUGUUAAUCGUUUUGUUUUUAUUUGGGAUCGGUGUGUUUGUUUGAAACGAUGUUUGGAUUUAUCGUUGUGUUUGUUUAAAAUUAUGUUUGGAUUUAUGGUGUCGUUUUAAUUUGAAUGUUGGAUUUAUGUGGUUUAACCUAUAGAUGCUUUUAA